AAUAAGCUAAUUAAGAGCGUAAGGUGGAUGCCUUGGCUCUCAGAGGCGAUGAAGGACGUGAUAAGCUGCGAUAAGCUACGGGGAUUGGCACACACAAUUUGAUCCGUAGAUUUCCGAAUGGGGAAACCCACUAUAUUGAAGAUAUAGUAUCCGUUAAGGAAGCAAACCCAGGGAACUGAAACAUCUAAGUACCUGGAGGAAUAGAAAUCAAAAGUGAUUCCGCUAGUAGUGGCGAGCGAACGCGGAUCAGCCCAAACCAAAAUUGUUUCGGCAAUUUUGGGGUUGUAGGACCACGACAUUGAAUGUUUAAUGAAUUAGAAUUCUUUGGAAAAAGAAA
This 337-nucleotide ribosomal RNA is filed under the name uncultured Flavobacteriaceae bacterium. RNAcentral describes it as "bacterial LSU rRNA". It matches the Rfam family "Bacterial large subunit ribosomal RNA", at positions 1 to 354 of the family's 2925-position model. The record is from RNAcentral. Lineage: Bacteria; Pseudomonadati; Bacteroidota; Flavobacteriia; Flavobacteriales; Flavobacteriaceae.